GGCGGAUGGGUGAGUAACACGCUGGGGAACCUGCCCCUAAGUCUGGGAAUACCAUUUGGAAACAGGUGCUAAUACCGGAUAAUAAAGCAGAUCGCAUGAUCAGCUUUUGAAAGGCGGCGUAAGCUGUCGCUAAGGGAUGGCCCCGCGGUGCAUUAGCUAGUUGGUAAGGUAACGGCUUACCAAGGCGACGAUGCAUAGCCGAGUUGAGAGACUGAUCGGCCACAUUGGGACUGAGACACGGCCCAAACUCCUACGGGAGGCAGCAGUAGGGAAUCUUCCACAAUGGACGCAAGUCUGAUGGAGCAACGCCGCGUGAGUGAAGAAGGUUUUCGGAUCGUAAAGCUCUGUUGUUGGUGAAGAAGGAUAGAGGUAGUAACUGGCCUUUAUUUGACGGUAAUCAACCAGAAAGUCACGGCUAACUACGUGCCAGCAGCCGCGGUAAUACGUAGGUGGCAAGCGUUGUCCGGAUUUAUUGUGCGUAAAGCGAGCGCAGGCGGAAAAAUAAGUCUAAUGUGAAAGCCCCUCGGCUUUAACCGAGGAAACUGCAUCGGAAACUGUUUUUCUUGAGUGCAGAAAGAGGAGAGUGGAACUCCAUGUGUAGCGGUGGAAUGC
Molecule: ribosomal RNA, 612 nt
Filed under: uncultured bacterium
Lineage: Bacteria
Description: bacterial SSU rRNA
Rfam family: Bacterial small subunit ribosomal RNA
Source: RNAcentral